GCCGCCGCUCCCGGUUCUGCCGGUACCCCGGCCUCCCCGCCGCUCCCGGGCGUUUCUCCGGCCUCUCCCUCCAUCUCCGUGAGGAGCUGCAGGGCCUCGUGCUGGGACCGCACCAGCGCGUCCAGCCGCCGGUGCAGGUCCCGCAGAAUUCCGGCCCCGGCGUCGCCUCCCGCCUCCCGCACCCGCGCUCCCACCCCGUCCCGCAGCGCCCGCAGCUCCCGCCGCAGCCGCCACGCCUCGUCCCGCUUCCCGGGAUCCCGCAGCUCCCGCAGCUCCUGCUGCAGCCGCUCCCGCUCCCGGCCCAGCCGCGCCAGCUCCACCAGGAGCUUCCCGUUGCCCUCCCGCAGCUCCAGCAGCUCCUUCUCCAUCCUCCCGCCCUCCCUCGGCAUCUCCUCCCGGCUCUUCUCCGCGCCGUUCACCGCCGGCUCCGACCCGAGCUUUUCCAGGAGGAUUUGGGAUCCCUGCAGCAUCCUGGCGUGGAUCUGGUCCUGCUGGUCCAGCGCCUGCUCCAGCCCCGCCGCCAGCUGCUCCCAGGCCCCGUCCCGGAGGGAAUCCUCUGCUUCCCGACGCAGCUCCUGGCUCCGCGAGGAGACGCCGGCCUUCGCUUCCCGCAUUUUGGAGCACUCCUCUCCCAGCCAGGCCAGGAACGGGAUCAGCGCCGGAGCCUCGGCGCUGCCUUGUCCUCCUUCCCACUCUUCAUCCCUCGUCCUCUUCCUCAGCUCCGCCACGCGCCGGGCCAGGAGCUCCAGGCAGGCGCCGUCAUCCUCCUCAUCCUCCUCACCCUCCUCAUCCUCCUCAUCCUCAGCCGCGUCCCGUCCCGGCAGGAGCCGCACGAGCUCCCGCAGCCGCCGGCGGAUGCCCUCGGCAGCUUCCUCCAGCCGCCGGCAUUCCAGAGUCUUCCUCGCCAGCUCCUCCCGCAGCCGCCGGGCAGCGCGUCCGUCCCGCUGCUCCUCAGCCUCCUCCUCCUCCUCCUCCUCACCCUGGAUUCCCACCUGUCCAGCACCAUUCUCUGCUGGAGGGAGAAACACAAUCCGUUUUCCCAAUUUUCCCUAUUUUUUCCAAUUUUCCCCGUUGUUUUCCCAUUUUCCCCCAUUCUUUCCUUUUUUUGGGGGAGGUCUCACCUCUCCUCCCACAGUGCGGGACCUUCUGGAGAGCCCAACCUGGAGCCUUCCCGGUGACAUUCCGGGUGACAUUCCCGGUGUCCUUCUUGUCCCUCUGGUGGCCCUGCAGCAGCUCGGCCACUUCCAGGCUGCUGUGAGCCAGGGCCAGCUCCAGCGCUGUCCUGAGCCGGGGAUGUGACACGGAGGGACACGGGGACACAGUGAACAGUGGCAGG
This 1336-nucleotide long non-coding RNA is filed under the name Lonchura striata (white-rumped munia). Its description in RNAcentral is "domestica (Bengalese finch) lncRNA (ENSLSDG00000011856.1)". The record is from RNAcentral. Lineage: Eukaryota; Metazoa; Chordata; Aves; Passeriformes; Estrildidae.